Molecule: unclassified non-coding RNA, 185 nt
Filed under: uncultured Pleosporales
Lineage: Eukaryota; Fungi; Ascomycota; Dothideomycetes; Pleosporales
Description: sequence contains ITS1
Source: RNAcentral
ACUGGCCUUGGGCCGCUCCCGGGAGUCAGUCGCUUGCGAUGAUGCUGCCGGGAACGCUUAGCCCUUGACUAUCACCUUGACUAUGUGCACCUUUUGUUGUUUCCUCGGCAGGUCCCCUGCCGCCAGGAACCCCACAACCCUUUUGCAUUAGCAUCCAAACCUCUGAAAACAAAACAAAUUAUUUA